This 473-nucleotide ribosomal RNA is filed under the name Bathymodiolus heckerae thiotrophic gill symbiont. RNAcentral describes it as "Bacterial large subunit ribosomal RNA". It matches the Rfam family "Bacterial large subunit ribosomal RNA", at positions 1 to 521 of the family's 2925-position model. The record is from Rfam by way of RNAcentral.
GGUCAAGUGAAUAAGUGCAUACGACGGAUGCCUUGGCAUUAGAAGGCGAUGAAGGACGUGAUAAUCUGCGAUAAGCUUCGGUUAGCUGAUAAUAAGCAUUAUUAGCCGGAGAUCUCCGAAUGGGAAAACCCAGUGGUCAUCAGACCAUUAUCCUUAACUGAAUACAUAGGUUAAGGAGGCAAACCUAGGGAACUGAAACAUCUAAGUACCUAGAGGAAAAGAAAUCAACCGAGAUUCCCUUAGUAGCGGCGAGCGAACGGGGAUCAGCCCUUAAGCAUAUUUUAAAUUACUAGAAUGUUCUGGAAAGUUCAACGAUACAGGGUGAUAGUCCCGUAUAGGAAAAUUUAAUUUAUGUGAAAUCGAGUAAGGCGGCGCACGUGAAACGCUGUUUGAAUAUGGGGGGACCACCCUCCAAGGCUAAAUACUCUCUAAUGACCGAUAGUGAACAAGUACCGUGAGGGAAAGGCGAAAAG